GUGAUUCGACUCUCCAUUUCCUCUGCAGUGUACUUCAAAUACCGAUCUGUACGCUUGGCCAACUCCGGCAAACUCUGGUACCUUCCUAUGAACUUUUGAUAUGCUGGCAAAAGGAUUUUGGCAACUGAGAUUCUUGUUUCCUCUCUCAGCUGAUUCUCAAAUAUCACCCAUGUGGAUUGGGUUUGGCAGAUUUCUUCGAACUGCAUAUUGAAUGAUUGAAGCUUCUCCUUCAUCGCCGAAGGAGCUAAAGUGCCACUGUCCAUUUUCAAUGCUCCCACCACCUUGCUCCAUGAGCUUUUCAGGUAGUUUCCGAGGUAUUGUCGGUUCUUAACCGAGUGUUUUCGAAUCCAAUCGUCUCCUAAAACGGAUCCUAGUUCACUGUCUUUCACUUUCUGAACAAUGUAUCUCCCAUUGUUCAUCAGAAACACAGAGCUUAAGGAAAGAUCCUUGUAUAUUUUCGACUUUGCUUCUAAAUUGCUCUCUAAAAGCUCCAUAAUCCAGUCCAUUUGAACAGAUAAGGAAGACGAUGCUGCUGCUCUGUCGUCGAACUUGGUGUAAUCCUUAGAAGGAAGGGCAGGUUCGUCAAAAACUUGCUCCAAAGUCUGCCGGGAUUUGC
Molecule: long non-coding RNA, 616 nt
Filed under: Cucumis sativus (cucumber)
Lineage: Eukaryota; Viridiplantae; Streptophyta; Magnoliopsida; Cucurbitales; Cucurbitaceae
Description: long non-coding RNA (CSAT_LNC000365)
Source: RNAcentral